RNAcentral lists this small RNA (152 nucleotides) under Pongo abelii (Sumatran orangutan). RNAcentral's name for it is "Metazoan signal recognition particle RNA (ENSPPYG00000037764.1)". Lineage: Eukaryota; Metazoa; Chordata; Mammalia; Primates; Hominidae. The record is from Rfam by way of RNAcentral.
GCUGGGCAUGGUAGUGCAUGCUUGUAGUUCUAGCUACUUGGGUGGGAGGCUGAGGUGGGAGGCUUGCUUGAGCCCAAGAGGUCAAGGCUGCAGUGAGCUGUGAAUGGGCCACUGCACUCCAGCCUGGGCAACAGAGCAAGACCCUGUCUCAA